UACGGAGGGGGCAAGCGUUGUUCGGAAUUACUGGGCGUAAAGGGCGCGCAGGCGGCUGCUCAAGUCAGGCGUGAAAGGCCUGGGCUCAACCCGGGAAUUGCGCUUGAGACUGGGCUGGCUUGAGUGCGGGAGAGGAUGGUGGAAUUCCCAGUGUAGAGGUGAAAUUCGUAGAUAUUGGGAAGAACACCGGUGGCGAAGGCGGCUCACUGGCCCGGUACUGACGCUGAGGUGCGAAAGCGUGGGGAGCAAACAGG
RNAcentral lists this ribosomal RNA (254 nucleotides) under uncultured bacterium. RNAcentral's name for it is "partial 16S ribosomal RNA". It matches the Rfam family "Bacterial small subunit ribosomal RNA", at positions 524 to 776 of the family's 1533-position model. The record is from RNAcentral.